AUGCAGUUCUGGAGCCGUGUUGCGGCCAUGCUGCCCAUUGAGCUCAACAAUCAAGGCAUAGUCGACAACCUCACCGAAAAUAAUAAGACCAGGGUGUGGGUUAGCAGACGGAUAGGGGAGGACCAACUCUACUUGGUGCAUGUUCAGCGCACUCCAGGCAUUGGUCUCCCGACCUCACUGGUCGUCAAGUAUUUCCAGAACAUGAACCCAACACCGCUACUGGAUGACAGUGUUAAGAAUCGAUGCAAGUCAGAGAUGAUCCUGUUAGCUAGCAUCUCACACAACAACAUCAUCAACGUCCUAGAUGUCAUCGAGAGGGAUGAGGCCGUCAUGCUAGCCUACAAGUAUGAGGUGAAUGGCAACCUUGGCUACUGGCUGCACCAGCCCAAGGAUGCCGGUCGUCCAUUGUCCUGGCCGGAGAGGAGGACCAUCGCCAUCGGCGUCGCCAAAGGGCUCUGCCACUUGCACCAUGGAUGCAACAAGCCGAUUGUCCACCACAACAUCAGCUCCCACAACAUCUUGCUUGAUCAGAAUUUCAAGGCCGUGAUAGCCAGUUUUGGCGCUGCACAGAUGAACAUGGUCGGCCUCAACCAACCGUUGCCGAUCGCGGAGAUUCCGGUUGGUAACUUUGGGUAUGCAGCUCCAGAAUAUGGUACAGCGCCAGGCCAGCUGACGGAGAAAGUAGACAUUUACAGUUUUGGUGUGGUGCUGCUAGAGCUCGUCACAGGGCGGGUGGCGAACGGAGCUGGAGCGGAUGGUCAUUUGGCGAUUUGGGCACAGGAUAAUUGCAAUGAGCUGAUGGCAAAUCAUCGGGAAAUGUUCAUGAUGGUCGUCGACAGAGAGAUCCCAGAUCGUGCACGAUACAUGGAGGAGAUGGUGAUGGUGUUCAGGCUGGGUGUGGAUUGCACCGCCAGGGGUCCGCAUCUAAGGCCGUCCAUGCAGAUGGUUCUCAAACGUCUCCGCCGGGGCCGAUUCCGUGCCCCCCUCAGCUGCUACCUACUGUGA
Molecule: ribosomal RNA, 1005 nt
Filed under: Triticum aestivum (bread wheat)
Lineage: Eukaryota; Viridiplantae; Streptophyta; Magnoliopsida; Poales; Poaceae
Description: partial small subunit ribosomal RNA
Source: RNAcentral